GAUUUCCAUCGCUAGCUUGCGGCGAAUCGCCCUUGUGGAUCCUUGAGGCGAUGCCCUAAUCGCGCUUUGCAAUGCGGGCGGAUGUACAUGCGGCGGCUUCAAGGGGCGACGGUUGGAGGAGCAGCGGUGCCCGCAGGUGGUACCUCAUUUGGUAGUGCGCCGAGGGGUGAGACGAAAGUGAUGCAACUGCAAGCGGAUCGCUCGCCUCCUCCAAUCCUCGCAUAAAUCAACAGACCAUUUACCUUCAGAAGCUGGGGUCAUCUCUACACUGACUUCACUAGUUUUGUUAAGCAAUUCCCCAUCCCAUGGAGAACCAGGAAACAGAGUAAUAGCUCAAGGUCCAGGCAUGUCAUCAAGGGUUUGACAUCAUGACUCAAAUUGUUGGUGGCAUGUCAUUUCAGAGCGCUACAGCAAUCCCAGGAUGACAAAAUGAUCCAUUUAUUGAUGCUUAGCAACUCUGCUGGGGGCAUACCGUAUGAUUCCUCGUGAAGUGGAGUGGAUCAUGACGGUAUUGAAUUUUGAUUUCUCCUUGCUGCUUGACUUGUGUAAGAAGGCCCAGCCUAUGCAGCCGUGCGAGGUUUUGUAGGCCUUGGUUAGAACAUAGAAAUGGGCAGCGUCGUGCCCUUAGUUCAUAUAUACUAGUUUCUAAGAAAUUCAUAUAUAAGGAGUUUUCGCGAAAUCGCACCGUUUGAUAGACCAAAAGGCAUGGCGUUGGAUGGAAUAGUUGCAUUCCUUAGAAAAGGAUGCACCCUGUCUUUCAUCCUUUUUCCGAAAAAUAUUCUUCCUGUUUCUUAAUGUAUAAGGAUCAAAGGCGUCCUUCUUAUGGC
Molecule: small RNA, 827 nt
Filed under: Oryza sativa Japonica Group (Japanese rice)
Lineage: Eukaryota; Viridiplantae; Streptophyta; Magnoliopsida; Poales; Poaceae
Description: sRNA Os03g0114700
Source: RNAcentral